This 35656-nucleotide long non-coding RNA is filed under the name Elaeis guineensis (African oil palm). Its description in RNAcentral is "long non-coding RNA (EGUI_LNC026771)". Lineage: Eukaryota; Viridiplantae; Streptophyta; Magnoliopsida; Arecales; Arecaceae. The record is from RNAcentral.
UCACCAUCGCCCAACGCUUGGUUGACCUUGAACAACUGAUUUCCUUCGGUCAGCGUUAUAGUUGCCCUUGAACAAGAAGUGUACGACUCCACGGCCAUCCAUUUGGUUUUUGUUGCCGGGUAAUUCCUUGUUCAGCUUUUGCGAUGCCUACAUCGCCGUGUCCAGCUGCUGCAUUUACAGUUCUAUAUCUAUAAACUUGUAUACGAAUCUUCUUGACUCCAGGAGAUUCUCAUGUGUUCUUUUUACCCCAGUUUCCUGUCAUCAUCUAUCCAUUUUGGUCAUGCUUGAUGUUUUGGUUGUAAAUCCUGUAUUAUGUACUGUUUCAGCUCAGUUUAAUAUAAUCCGGCUCUUUCUUACUACAAAAAAAAAAACAGAAGGAAAAAAAAAAGAAAAGUCGGUCCUGUUAAAGUUCUUUAAUACAUUGCGUGGUUUUAGUCCUUUAACAAACCCGUGUGAUUUGACAGGUUAAUCCUUCUUUUGGGCACUAUAGCGAUUAUUCUAAUUGGUCCCAUUGUAACAUCAUACAUUUCCAAUUUUUUCCCCUUCAUUUCUUAGAUCUCAUAAUUACUUAAGCUUGCAUAAAAUAUCAAAAGCACCAUUUCUCCACUUUCUUUGGCUGGUGAUAGAUCUGCUAGUCAUGAUCCCCCAGGAAACUGUAUCGGUCUCCUCUAAACAGGUCUCCAGUCAUGAUUUACAUCGCUGGACAAAUGUUUUUUUCCAUGUGGUUCAGCUAUUCUUGCCACAUCAGCAUCAUACAUCUCUUGACAAGUAAAGGGCUUCGACAAAAGAAAAAGAAAAACUAUAGGCUUAUAGAAUUAUAUCCAUAUGUUUUCGUACCAGUUUAUGACCAUAACCAGCCAGCCUUAUCCUUCUAUUUGGGAGCUCAACACCCAAAGUCCAUCAAAAAUAUAUACCAACCAUUACUGCAUGACCUGCAUUUCACCAAAGUUCCAAACCCCAAUUACAUCUUUUCAACGGAUGAACAAGUAGAAAACGUCAGUGGUACUGAGAACAACCGUCUGAGAAGUUAUCAUGAUAGGUUCAUCCUGCCAAACAUCGCCUAGGUUCAUAGUUGCUUCUUUGAGUCAGUAAAAAAUAAAAAUUAAAAUUAAGAUAAAAAUAAAAGAAAAUCAUCAGUAACAUCUGGAAUACACUGUCUACUCAAUGGUUCAGUACCUAUAUAGAACACUAUAAGACAAUAACAUAUUCGAUUGCUUUGCAUAAUUAAAAAGAUAAAACAAUGAAUGUGAAAUAGCACAAUAUUGCGUCAAAAAUACAUGCACUUACCAACUCAAUAGAUCAUUAACCAUGAGCCACUUCAAUGCUGGCUUCCUGGGUAGAAAUACUCAACACCAUUAUCCUUCAUCUAGAAGUGGAAGUUAUGAAUUAUGUUCAUUAAAUGCCCAUGUUUGUUGGAAGUCCCCUGGUUGAAAACAGUCGACUGUCAAAACCAUUUGCAUUGUAACUAAAUUCUAUCAAAGGAAAAGGAAAUAGUUCUCAACAACCCCCCUUAAAAUGUGAUUAAAAAGGCAACAGUAAUAGCUUAUCUUCAGCAGCAGACAAAAAGAAAUGGAUUGUUUGAUGCUGCAAAGCUACUUAUUUUUUUGCGGAGCUACUUUUGGUGGUACAAAGGCCAGAACAGAGUUGUCCAUUUUUAUGUAAAAAUAGAAACAUUUGUGAGACCCACAAUUCGAUAUCGUAAAGUAUUUGUGCAUAAUAAUUGUAGUCUUUAUCAAGUAUUAAUGCAAAGCAUGACAUGGGUCCAGUACUACUCUGAGGGGCUCUCUGAAUGCCUGUGAGUUAUUAUAUAAUAUAUAUAUAUAUAUUUGACAGAUAAUCAUGAAAUAUGAGACUCUACAAAACAGGAUUUAUGACAAACAGGGGGAUACCUAUUUUCCGCAUCCAGGUCUUAUGACUCAUCAGAUUUGGUGAAACAAAUUUUAUAGAAAACAGUCAAACAACUAUUUAGAAAAAAAACAUUCAUUCUGAGUUUUUCUUAUAAAUCUGUCUUGUAAAAACUUGUCAAACACACAGUCCUUCAGACUUUUAGUUAAAAUUUAAGGGGCAAAAACAUCAAAGCUACAGUGGAUAAGAGUUUGUAAUUGUUACUCACAGAAGUUUUUGUUGGCUUGAAGUCGAGAAAUAUUUAUCAAAAGCAAGAGUUUAGGUUUAUCAUAAUGCUGCACCAGGAGAAGUCAUUUCUGCACUGGGAAUGAGCAAUUUUCCAUAUUAAAGCUUUCAGAAAAGAUCAUUUUUUGUAGGGAGGAAAAGAUCAUGUUGAUUUACAGAUAUCUCAUUAAUUGUGAACCGAAUGUUUAAUUGUGCCUUGAAAUUUUAAAACUCCUCAGCUCUUGUGUUCAUAUCCAAGAAUUCUCAGAAUCAACAAAAUCUACGAAUUAUGUCACAUGAAAAGUAAGUACAAGCUAAGAUAAAAUUACCAAACUGCCUUACAACUUGGGCAAAUAAAAAAGCUCCUCUUAACACAAUGUAUGGUAAAAACUACAACAUAAUGUCCCCUGACUUCGGAUGGCUAAUGAACCAACAUGUUCUAAUAUUUCUAUUUUGGCAUAUUUGAAUGUCAAGUACAAGAAGACACCUCACUGUUCUACAAAGCAAAGUCUAAACAAUUACAUUAACUAUAGAGUAAAUAAACAGUAAGGACAACUCUGUGUUCCUCUCUAAAGUGGAUUAAAGGUCUUUGCAAAGCCAGGACAACUCUGUCUUCCUCUCUAAAGUGGAUUGAAGGUCUUUGCAAAGCCACCUUCCUGCCCCACAUUCUGGAAAUUUUUAAGCCUUUACAUUUUGGUAUCAUAGAGUUACUGGUCCACAUUACCAUAAAAGAAACUAGUAUAUUAAAAAAAGAAAUUUCAAAUAAAUUGCACCACAUAUAUUAUUUGAUUAAGAUGCUAUGAGGAUAUGCAAUAAAGACAUGAAGCCAUGUCCCAAAGAACCAGGAAAAAGGAGGGUGGAACCUUGAGCUAAACUGGAGGAAAGCUAAGAUAAUGAAUUCUGAAAAGCUUGAAGCUGCUAGAGCCUUCAAAACGAAAAAUUAAUGGUGAAGAAUUUCCAAUUAUUGCUUACGUAUCACACUUAUGACAAGAAAGGAAUCUAGAACUUCUCACUAUCAGGAGUCAACUUUUUCCAACACAAAAUAAAAAUAUUCUAACUCAGUGUCAAAUAUCUGGAAUCAGUAGCAAGUCGAGUGUCUUCCCUCAAUUUAGAAUGUUGGGUUGGUUCAGAAAUGUAAUUUGUGAAUGCUGUCACUCAUAUGAAGUAAAAAUACUGAAGGUGGGGAAAUUAGCUCUGAGAAUAUUUCAUUGCACUUGCAGGUUAAAGAUGAGAUGAAAAAACAAAAUAACCAAGAUCAAAUCCAAAAAAAAAAAACAGCCAGGAAGUGUAAUAACACAUGAAAGGAAGCUAGAAAAUGCAAAAGUGGGGAACAUCCUCGUAUGUAAUAUCCAAGAGCCAGUAAAGAUUGAUAAAAGAGAAGCACAGAAAUAACUUCAACAAUCAGAUAAAAAUCAAAUAUAUGUCACUAGUUGCAGACAGCCGAGGCUUUUAGAUAGGCCACAUGCACUUAGUAAUUGUAAUCCACUCAAUAUCCCCAAAUUUUGUUGCGGAAAAAUAAUCUCAUAGCUAUAUUCGACUUGAGAAGUGGAGGAUGAAGAGGGGUAGUGACCUAGUGUCCUGACAACUAUGAACCCACAAUUUUAAGACAUAAGCGGAAAAAUUUCAUGUACUGUGUAUGUCUUGGCUAGGGACUGCCACACAGCACCUAUCAUGUCAUACAAUGAUGAGUUGAUGAUGCUUAGCAUGUAUAGGCAUGAAAAAAAUGUUAGUUUCUAGAGAGAUUUUCAACUUGUACAGUAGGAUUGAGACAGUAUUCAAUAUCUUCCAAGAAAAAGAUUAAUUGUAAUUGAUUCACAUUGCAUAAACGUGUUUUAAAGAAAAACACAUUUUUUCUCUAAUCUUUAGACAUCUAGAAUCACAUGAAAUCCUGGAUAUGGUGUUGAUUGUCAUCUAACAUACAUAUUGCAUAGUUUCAAGUGAUUGGUCACGCAAACUAACCCCAAGACAGAUUGUAUGCACAUAUAGCACAACAGUAAGCUUGAUAAUUAUGAUAAAAAUCACAGGGGGAUAUAAACCUAUGUUAAAACAUGAACAACAUAUUGUAGGUGUUGGUACACAUAUUGCCUGCAUCACAGGAAGGUCAAAUAAAGCUUAUGAGUUACGUUGAUUUUUAGCCUUUAGAAAUUAGACUAAUGCAAAAUUAUGAUCUAUUGCAGAAACUAGGAGUGGCUGCUUCUGGAAUUAACCCACCAAACCAAUCAAAAUAAAUGGGUACCGGGUGAGAGUUUGUAAUAAAUAUAUCAAGCUUGGAUUAUUAAGACCAACCAAGUGAUAAAUGGUCAGGUUUGGAUUUGAUCCCCGCACCCAAUAAAUCAUCAUGUAUUGGACAAACCCUUAAAACCUUACCUCUAGGCCCUUACGACAUUGACAAUCGUGUGAUGGAUCGAUGGAUUGUUGUUCGCUUGGUUCAGGUUAUUAAGAGCACUGUGCAAUUAAUAGUUAGAAGAACACAAAUAUACUAAUAUAAACUUGAAGCAAAUAAUGCGCUUAAGACUUGUUAUGUUUUCUUCUACACUUUAGUUUCUUCUUUCACUUUAUUCUGACCCCCAACAAUCAGUCUCUUCUUCUUGGCUCUACUUCGCUUUCAUUUUUUUAAGGUACAUAACUAAUAAGUAAAGCUAUAAUUGGGUGUGUAUGUUGGGUAUGAGUUUCUACAAAUAAAUGGAUUGGGCAAGGGUCUUUUUGACAUGGCCAUUAAUUUGUCAGGUAUUGGUUGAGGUUAUUUACCGACCUAAAUUUGACCUAACCCAACCAAUUGCAAGCACUAACAAAAACAUUGUCUGGAUAUAAAGCUUUCAAAGAAAUUUUGUAGAGAUUGAAGAAGGCAAUUGUAUGGAUUUUCUUAUCAAUCUCAUACAAUCCCACAUUCCUACUAAGAAGAAAAUAUGCAUGUUUGAAGAUAAUGUUCGUUUCAUCAGCUUAAACUUCACACUUUUUUUAAGAUAGUUUAUUGUUGACAAAGACGAUAGUAUGCUAUUGCACAUGCUUGUCGCAACCAGCUGCAGAAAGAGUGGAAUUAGUAUGAUGGUAACAGAAUUCUAGAAUAUUCUAUCAGGUGGCUAUCAUUGAAGCAGCAGCAUAAGCUCCCUGAGUUUAUCUGUGUCAUUUGUAGAGAUGGUGAAUCAGUGAAUCAUCAUAACAUUGCGUACUAGCUAGGCACUUGACCUUAUUUCUCAAGCUAUUGGUGAUCCUGAUCAUCUCUGAGUAACAAUGUUGAUGUCCUCAUUUCGUCAUUUGGAGUUCAAAUGGUUUUUACAAUUCUGGUCCAAAGAGUGAUAAGAAUUUUAUAAAGACUCCUAACAUAGACAAAAUAAAGUUAUCACAUGGUGAAAAGACAGUAGAAAGUUUUUCAAUGACUUGACCUCCAAUGAUGUCACAAAUUGAAGAGAAUAUAGACCUAUGUUAUUGAGUAAUAAUAAACAUACUUGUCCAUGCACAUCAGCAGCUAAACCAGUACUCAAGUGUUCUGUCUUUACCGCGAUAUCUGCAAGGUACUCCAGAUAUGAUAGGAGCCUUAGGGCUUCCUAACUUGAAUAGAUAUUUUCAUGGUUUAGAAUCACUAGAAAGCAAUCCUGUUUAAAAAAUGAGAAGGAAAUCCACCAAUGGAGUGAGAAUUAGCAAAAAGAGAGACAAGCUUGAAGUUGUCAUUUCUAACCAGUUUGGAGGUAAGGGCAAUACAGUAGUAUAGAAAGUCAAGAUGCAGUCUACAAAACCAUGGGCAGCUAUCUUUAAAAGGGAGAUGUCAUCAAUCAUGAUGAUGAUGCAGCCCCUUCUGUAUUCCUUUGACCUGCUGGCUUCUAUAGCCCUCUGAAUAUUACCAUACAAUUCAAGAAUCAUUAGCUUAGCCACAUGAUGAAUUAACUUAGAUAUAUCACAGUAAAAUGUUGCAUAGAUCACAGUAACAUGUUGCCAUUAUAUUGUUGACGAAGUGAAAAAUCACCAGUACAGAACGAAGGAUGCAACAAUGGAGACUGCGUAAUUGAUGGUUCGCAGCAAUUUUCUUUACCUUCAUACUUGUCUGGAAAUUCUAGCUUAAGCAUGUCAAGAUAGUGCAAUUGAUUGUUUUGCCUUUGUCCUGAUAGAUUACAACCCUGAAUCAAACAGAAUGUACCAUAUUAUUACUACUGUAAUAAUGUUCUGAAACAAUCUCUGAAGGGGAAGAGCCACCAAACAAGCAUGCAUUAACUGUUAGAGAAUGAAAACCAAACAUAAGCAAACAUCUGAAAAAAAACACAUCCCAGCUCAAAAAGUAAAAUUAAGUAACAAACUGUUUGAUAUCAGCAAAUGAUAUACAUGUAUACAAAUGAAUAAUUCAAUUGGCAUGGGCAUUAUCUACUAUGCGAAAGAGAAAACAGGAAGCUAUUGAUGCUAGUGCAGAUGUAAAUCGCGUGUAAUGUUAAAACAUGCUCAUAGAGUGGAAGGCAUAGAAAAUAAGACAGUAGCAUCAUACAAUUUUUGAAAAGAUUGAAAUGACUUGUCUACCAUAUGAAUUUAAAAUCUCCAUCAUGUUUCUCAUUCUCAACAUCAAUAAGCAUAAAAUCAUUAACAUAUAUGAAAUAUAUUCUUUAACUAUCAAGUAAUGAUUCAAAGAGAAAUGCAUCUUUAUGGUAGAUCAUCCUUUUGAAAGAAAAUCAGAAGUCAGAAUAAUUAGGUAACUUAAUCNNNNNNNNNNNNNNNNNNNNNNNNNNNNNNNNNNNNNNNNNNNNNNNNNNNNNNNNNNNNNNNNNNNNNNNNNNNNNNNNNNNNNNNNNNNNNNNNNNNNNNNNNNNNNNNNNNNNNNNNNNNNNNNNNNNNNNNNNNNNNNNNNNNNNNNNNNNNNNNNNNNNNNNNNNNNNNNNNNNNNNNNNNNNNNNNNNNNNNNNNNNNNNNNNNNNNNNNNNNNNNNNNNNNNNNNNNNNNNNNNNNNNNNNNNNNNNNNNNNNNNNNNNNNNNNNNNNNNNNNNNNNNNNNNNNNNNNNNNNNNNNNNNNNNNNNNNNNNNNNNNNNNNNNNNNNNNNNNNNNNNNNNNNNNNNNNNNNNNNNNNNNNNNNNNNNNNNNNNNNNNNNNNNNNNNNNNNNNNNNNNNNNNNNNNNNNNNNNNNNNNNNNNNNNNNNNNNNNNNNNNNNNNNNNNNNNNNNNNNNNNNNNNNNNNNNNNNNNNNNNNNNNNNNNNNNNNNNNNNNNNNNNNNNNNNNNNNNNNNNNNNNNNNNNNNNNNNNNNNNNNNNNNNNNNNNNNNNNNNNNNNNNNNNNNNNNNNNNNNNNNNNNNNNNNNNNNNNNNNNNNNNNNNNNNNNNNNNNNNNNNNNNNNNNNNNNNNNNNNNNNNNNNNNNNNNNNNNNNNNNNNNNNNNNNNNNNNNNNNNNNNNNNNNNNNNNNNNNNNNNNNNNNNNNNNNNNNNNNNNNNNNNNNNNNNNNNNNNNNNNNNNNNNNNNNNNNNNNNNNNNNNNNNNNNNNNNNNNNNNNNNNNNNNNNNNNNNNNNNNNNNNNNNNNNNNNNNNNNNNNNNNNNNNNNNNNNNNNNNNNNNNNNNNNNNNNNNNNNNNNNNNNNNNNNNNNNNNNNNNNNNNNNNNNNNNNNNNNNNNNNNNNNNNNNNNNNNNNNNNNNNNNNNNNNNNNNNNNNNNNNNNNNNNNNNNNNNNNNNNNNNNNNNNNNNNNNNNNNNNNNNNNNNNNNNNNNNNNNNNNNNNNNNNNNNNNNNNNNNNNNNNNNNNNNNNNNNNNNNNNNNNNNNNNNNNNNNNNNNNNNNNNNNNNNNNNNNNNNNNNNNNNNNNNNNNNNNNNNNNNNNNNNNNNNNNNNNNNNNNNNNNNNNNNNNNNNNNNNNNNNNNNNNNNNNNNNNNNNNNNNNNNNNNNNNNNNNNNNNNNNNNNNNNNNNNNNNNNNNNNNNNNNNNNNNNNNNNNNNNNNNNNNNNNNNNNNNNNNNNNNNNNNNNNNNNNNNNNNNNNNNNNNNNNNNNNNNNNNNNNNNNNNNNNNNNNNNNNNNNNNNNNNNNNNNNNNNNNNNNNNNNNNNNNNNNNNNNNNNNNNNNNNNNNNNNNNNNNNNNNNNNNNNNNNNNNNNNNNNNNNNNNNNNNNNNNNNNNNNNNNNNNNNNNNNNNNNNNNNAAAUUUUUAUUCAGAUCAUAAUAUUGCAAGGUGCAAGUCAAUAGCUCUUGAAUCAUACGGAAGGCACCACAUGUUUACGGCUUCUAAGUGAACCUUGUUAGAUAGCGAUAUGACCUUCCUGAACAUGUAAAAUAACACCAGUAAAAUAGUAUCCAAGCCACACAAGCAUGAGAAAAAGAAAAGGCAAUACGAAUGUACCUAAUUUGCUAAUUUAACAAACCCUGAAUAAUUUUUCAAUAAAUAUACAAAGCUCGAAGUCCGUUUUUUCCCCGUUAUUCUUCUCUUCUUGAUCAAUCCAUCCCUAAACUCAUCACAACAAAUAUCAGUGACAUUGUUGAAACCAGGCACGGCUCAAAUAAUAGAAUGCUGCCUCUGAUACAGUUCCAUAUUUGAACAAAGAUUUCACACUGCCCAAUCCAGUUCAAGAAACGCCUUCUACGAAAAUAAUGCCUAAUCUUGUCAUCAACCGGCACAUCCCGAGUCACGCCAUGGCUUUGACCAGUGAAAGAAACUGAAUCUUGAUUUCCAUUCGGGAAAGGAAGAAAAAAAAGCACUCAUACCAUGGAUCCUAACAACUGCAUUACGUAAAUCUAAGGAUUCAUCUUGAUAUCAACCAGUGGCUGAAAUCAUAUCUCCGUUGCUUGCCUUCUCUGUAGAUAACUAUUGAUCUUGAUAUCAUUCAGUAUUUGAAGUCAUCACAUCGUUUUGUCCAGUGAGCCAGGUUGAAUAUUGAACGGACCUUUCAAUCCAAUGCGUGGAAAAGGUCCCCCAUCCCGUCCCUCCCAACGACUUCAAUACUACUAUCAUCCGGAUCAUGAGCGAACGCCAGAACAGUAAUGUAAAGAAGCGACUCAACAAGAAAAGAAGAAGAGCAACCAAUGUUUGAGAAAACGACGAGGAGAACGAUUAUAGAGAUGAUGGUUGGGGUUUGGGAUAUUUGCUUGCCAACUUCCUCAGAACGCGAUUGUAGAGGAAAAAGGGUAGGGCAAGGGCGAGAAAGAGAACAGCCCGCAGCCCUCGCCGGCGGAGAGCGCGCGCUUCAGUAGGCCGUGGAGAACGAACACGCCGCUCGUCCUCGACGAGGACGACCCUCACCGCGGCGAGCGGAGCGAUGCUCCUCCGUGGCCAACGUCCAGGGCCUCGUCAAGGGAUCAGGGUUGUACCUUUCUCGUCAGGGCCUCGUCAAGAAGAUUGGAACGAGGGUUCGUGACUCCCCUCUCCCUCUCGUCUCGAGCAAAACCCCGCAAUACGGGAGGGAAGAGCCGGUUAAGCGGAUGUAUUUAUAGUUGCGCGAGCUAGGAUGGUUCCAAGUUUCUGGAAAGUGAAAUAAGUAGGCUCACGGCCUGUUUACACUGGUGGGUGGGUGAGACAGUUAGCGGCGGGUGACAAACGGAUGACCAACACUUCUCAACCAAUCAGAUUUGGCUGUUCAGAAAUCAUUUUGUAUUCGACGUUGAGAUUGUGCCGUUUGCGGUGAGCGCUCAGGAGAGUCUGUUAUUUAAUCACAGAGUACUAUCAUUUUGAUGCUGUUAGUCCGCAUAUUACGUUUUAAAUUUUUAAAUUUUUUUAUUAUACUUAUAGCAGUUCGGGUGAUUCUAUUCGUUUCUUAAAAAUUUUUUCAUCCAAAAUUUAUCAAGAUCGACUUUGAUAGUAAUAUCAAAUAUAGUAAAAAUGAUUCGGACUAUAUCAUUCGGGGUCUAAAUGCUAGAUUAUUGACGAUAGAAAUGACAACGGAUAGAAUUUGGAUCAGAUAUUAUACUGUCCAUUCUUAAAUCUGAACAUAAUAUCCUAUACCUAAAUUUUAUCCAAUAUCGAUCGGAUAAGAAAAGAGAUAUCCAUCCCCAUAUCCAAUGGAUUUGGAGAUACCUACGGAUAAUACAUUUCUCCAUACCCAACUCAUAUCCGCUCCAUACCCAUCUCAUAUCCAAAAAAAAAUAAAUAAUCAAAAUAAUUUAUGCAUAUUAUCAAUUAAAAUAGAAUUACCAAUUCAAUAUAGAACGUAAUUUAUAAAUUCAGAUUUUUAGAAAUCAAACAUAGAAAUAAAAUUAUAAUUCAACAUAAAAUAUAUAAAUAAUUAAAAUAAUUUUAGACAUAUUAUCAACCAAAAUAGAAUUAUCAAAAUAAAAUUAUGAAUAUAUAUAUUCGAAUAUGGGUUCGGGUAUUACCUAUACCCGUAGGUUCGGAUCGGAGUCGGAUUCGGAUUGGGAUAGAAAAUAAUACUAUCCAUAUCCUACCCAUAUGCGUGCUACAGUUUUCGGAUUUUACCCAAAUCCGGUCAAACUCUAUUUUUCGUAUUUGACUGGAUUUGGAUAGAGUGUAUAUCCAUUAGAUCGAAUCGAUUUUGUCAUCCCUAGAAGACGAUGGGGGGUUCAUAGCUCUUUGAGCCGGCUAUUUCCGAUGUAAAGCUUCGUGCCGCUUCAGCAGACAUCAUUUGCAUAAGAUAGGAGUUAUGGACUGAGAGGAUCUUCAUUGAGGAUGACUCCACCACAGUCAUCGACUGGAUCAAGGAUAAGAUAAAGUAUCUGGAUGUUUAUUCGCCUCUCUGCGACAUCUGGAGGUUAUUCCAUUGAAACGAUUGUUUGGCAUGUUUUUCGAGAGGCUAAUAGUGCUGCGGACUGAAUUAUUUCUUUUGUUGCCAAGCAUAUUAGAGACUAAAUUUGUAUUCUGUCUUCUAAAUCGUGCUCACACUAAAAUGAUGCGAUCGUCUAUUUAUACCAAAAAAAAAAUCAACACUCCUCGGGAAGAAGACAAAUGGGUGAUCAAUGGCAGGUGAUUGAGCAUGGGAGAAGAUGNNNNNNNNNNNNNNNNNNNNUAUCGGAGUUGAGUGCCUAAAUUUUUUUGGUUAAGGAUAAAAGUAACCAUAACAGAAACGGAGUAAUAGAUACAUAAAAAUCAAACCACAGCCAACUAAAUUGGACCCAAUAGCAUCUACUAGGAGGAUGCUCAGAAGUUGUGGCUGAAUAAAUCCAGAUUCAAUGAUUAAGAUAUUCCAAUGAUUGCCUUGAGUUGCCAUCCAAUUGGAAAAAUUACAGCAUCGGAUGAAUUAAUCUUCUUCCACAAUAUAUAGGUUGUAUACAACAUUUUCCUGUAUGAUCUCACUCAUGAAAAUUUCAUAUUUGCUUUCCGUGAUGCUACUUUUGGAAUACCAUUCUCUAACACAAGUAACCGCUGCUUUUGAAGGCCAUGCUUGCAUGCGUUAGAACUGUUAACCAAUUUAAUUACACCAAUGCAACCGUGCUGUUACCUCUUAAAAGUUUCCAAAUAUUGAGAAAUUGAAGUCCUCAACGAAUCACCAUUAAACUGCAUUGCUUAUGUCAGAGAAAUUGAAGAGCAUUCCUUUCUCCUCGUUUCUUCUCAUAACUUUUAUUUUGCAUAUGAAUCUCCAUUCCUUCAAAUGAUGCCAAGAUUUUCCUCAACAUCACAAUUAUUCAUCUACUUACCUUCUGCUCAUCAUUCUAAACUCACCAAUGGCAACUAUCAUUCUAAUGGCAAACAUAAGUUAAUGGUCUAUAAGUAAUAUUUGCUUUUUAUUAAAUUCUGUGGAUGGAGUCAUAAUCAAGAAAUCUAUUGCACAUUGGAUCGCGAUGGGUCCAGAAGCUAGACUCUAGAAUCCUCUUGGGACUUGGCAACCUGACAUCAAGCCCAAACCGUUCCUAUCAAAGCAAUUCACCUUCGCCCUAACGUGUUACACGGUAAGAGGCUAGACUAGACGACUUUUGUAGAACAAGAACGCCAGUCCGCCGUCCGGUCCACGACUUGUGUCACAACAAUCAAACAACAAAUAAUUAAAAAUGGCCAGACGGAUUUGAUAUCAUUAAUAAAUAAAUUAAUUAAUCUUGUCUGGUGAAACCGUACAUGAUGAUGUAGAAAAAAAAAUUUCAAAUAAACAGAAUACUAGAACCGCGUUUCUUUUAACGAUCUGGGCACAGAUCUGAUUCCUCAAUCCAACGGUCUAAAUCGUUCUAUCUUUGCGUUUUGGGUGGGAUUCGAAGCAACAACUGUUAUAUGAUAUGCGAGGUGAUUAAAAAUUAAGUUUAGUUUUUCUUUAUUUUUCUGGGUAAUUUUUCGUUUUCUAAUUUUGGAGCCUUUACUUGAGUUGAGUUGAGUCGAGUCCGUCCUCUUUAUUUCCUCUUUCUCUCACUUCUUGCGAGAGCUAAAAAAGAGGGGGAGGGGGAGGGGGAGGGGGAGAAGAGCGCGAGAACGAUCGGUGGUUGGGGAAAUGGGGUGCUUUCCGUGCGCCGGAGAGCCGAGCAGGAAGGGUAAGGAGAAGGAUCAGAUCCCGCCGGCCUCAGGUAUUUGGAUUCCGUAGCAAAUUUGUGCUUUUCUGGAAUUUUUUUGCUUCAUUUUUUUUGGUUUUUAAAUCGAUCGAAUCGGCUUGGUAUGAGAUCUUAUUCCAUUUUUGUCUUCUGGGAUAUGGAUUUUGGGUUGGAUGGUUCCAGAUUCCAAAGAAAGUUAGGGUUUGCCGGGGGGAGUCACUCGAUCUGGAGGUGUUUCUUUUUGGUCCGGAUUUCCAGACUCCAUUGUCUAAAAAUUUGAUUUUGGGUUGGGGUUUGGCGUUUGGAAGGAACCCUUUCAUCUCCGUGUUGGUUUUUCUGGACCCGAUCAGCAUAAAGGUGAAGGCUUUGAUGAAGCUUGAGUCGUCUCCCAUGUUCUAAUCAACGUUUGCUGUUUAUUGUAGCCAUUCCCUUGAAAAUAAAUUUCCUGUUGCUUCUUUAGGAUGAGAUUUUCUUUUUCUGUCUGGUGAUGACCAGAUCGUUUAAUUAGCUGUGCUGUGUUCAGUCGAUCCAUAUCUGCAUAUAUGAUAAGUUUGAUGCAUUAAUUGAUGCUUUUUAUGCAUAUAUAUCGUUUGGAUAAUCAAAAAAGCUACUUUUGAUUCAGAUUGUGGUUAAAUUUCCCAUUAAUCUGCAUUGAUUUGAGAUUUAAAUGUGGAGGGUCAUACUGCCUCAUUACUUCCAAAACUGAGUGUGUUCUCCUGUUGUCGUGAAUUAAGCGCAGAAUACUCGUUUUGAUCUUUUUUUUUCUAUGUCAUAGAAAUAACUGAGGCACGUAAAAUAGAAAAUGUUAAUAUAUAGAAUUUCUUGGCCACUGAUAUUCAUUUAGCAAAGUGCGACUUUUAAUUAGGCAAUGGAACUAGGAAGUUUUCCUUGCGGACUAAACAAAUAAAGAGAUGGGACUGUGAUAUUUGUCUUUUAAGUCAAUAAUAUGAAGUUGUAGUCUUUCUUUGUUAUUUGAUCAUUUUGUAUUCAUCUAGUUCUCAUGUUCUCAAAGUAUGUAUUUAGUCAUUCAUUGAUGUUUGUUCUUCAGCAGAGAAGUCAAAAUCCAAUUCAUCGUCGGAUGUAAAGAAACAGAGCUCACUGGAUGCAAAGAAGGAGGUCUCAAAUAAUGGAUCUGAACAUAUUGCUGCUCAGACGUUUACAUUUCGUGAAUUGGCUGCAGCAACCAAGAAUUUCAGAGCUGAUUGUCUUUUAGGAGAGGGAGGGUUUGGCCGAGUUUAUAAGGGCAGGUUGGAUAGUAUUAACCAGGUCAGGCUGUGCUGUCUUUGCCGUUAAUCUUUGACUUUUUCCUCGACUGUCUCUCGGUAUGCUUGCAAACAAGUUUCUCUCUCAUUCUCUUACUUCAGUUUUAAAAACUGAAAGUUAACUUUUACAUAGUUCUAAGCUUCCAAAAGUGAGUUUUGUUAGAUAAGAUUGACAUGUUUGUUAUCGAAUCUAUUUUAUUUCCAUCAAUAAUUCUGCUGAAUUCAAAUAUUUGUAAUCUGCACUGAAUUAUUGCAUCCCUGUUUUUCUUUUGCCCCUUGAAUUCUCAAUCUAGAAACUCAUACAGUGGUUUGACAUUGCUGAUCUGCUUGAAUAAGGGGAGUGUGAUGAAUUGUUUCUUUUCUAAAAAAAAAAACAUUAUCGAGUUGUUAACGUGGAGUUUCCUUUUGUUCUGCAUAGAUUGUGGCUAUAAAGCAGCUUGACCGUAAUGGCUUGCAAGGUAAUAGAGAAUUCCUUGUUGAAGUUCUGAUGUUGAGUCUACUUCACCACCCUAACCUUGUUAACCUAAUCGGAUACUGUGCUGAUGGAGAUCAAAGGCUUUUAGUUUAUGAGUACAUGCCAUUGGGAUCCUUGGAAGAUCAUCUUCAUGGUAAGCUAAUGUACAGUGCGUCAUCAUCAUACUCUGUAUGUGUCUGUUGUUUAGUGGAUUGGAUCUGGUAUAUACUCAAUCUGCAGUUUUUUUUACACUGAAGCAUACCUGUUCAUCUGAUUACCUUGGUUUCAAUAGACCCGUCUCCAGACAAGAAGCGGCUAGACUGGAACACAAGAAUGAAAAUAGCUGCUGGUGCAGCUAAAGGAUUAGAAUAUUUGCAUGAUAAGGCCAAUCCUCCUGUUAUAUACCGUGAUCUGAAAUGCUCUAACAUUUUGCUUGGAGAGGGAUAUCAUCCCAAGUUAUCUGAUUUUGGCUUGGCAAAGCUUGGUCCUGUCGGUGAUAAAACUCAUGUUUCCACUAGGGUCAUGGGUACUUACGGAUAUUGUGCACCUGAAUAUGCAAUGACCGGACAACUGACACUAAAAUCAGAUGUCUAUAGCUUUGGGGUUGUUCUUCUGGAGCUUAUCACUGGAAGAAGGGCUAUUGACAAUUCUAGAGCUGCAGGGGAGCACAACCUUGUUGCAUGGGUAAGGAGCUCCGCCUUCCUGUACUUUGUUUCUACACACACAUGCAUGCAUGCACACAAAUUUCGUAUCCUAGAUUUCUUAUACUUCAAAUAUUUCUUUCCAAGAAACCAAUUAUUAUCUCAGCAUAGUUAACAUCAAUUUUAAUUAGUUAACUUGUGUUCUGGAAAAUAACUUGAUCUCAGAUCUCUAGCCCUGAAGUUUAAUAAGGAAACUAUGCGCAUGAAUCUUGAUGUGCCCAUCAACAGAAAACAGUUUGGGAGGUCAUUUUCAGUUCCUUCUCUUAUUUAUUAUUAUUAUUAUUAUUAUUUUUGGUUUGCCACAAAAUUCCAUGGAGUAACUUUAUUGCCUCUCUGGUCUCAUCCAGAUAAAUUGGAAUUUUCCUACUCUAAGGCAACUGGAUUCUAAGCUAUGAAACCUGAUAUACUUGUUGACAUUAAUUUUCAAUAUGCAACUUGGAUUGGCCAGGUCAGAACCUUUUUGAAUAUUGACUAGGCAAUGCCUCUGGCUAAAUUCUAGACAGGCGAGUUAUAGAUGCAAGUAGCAUUCCUGCUUUGAAGUUAGUCCUUGCCUUGGCAGGUGGUUCUUUAUUGUGGGGAAUCACAUCUGUAGACCUUCCCACGAGCUGAGGAAAGAUCUUUUUGGCUCAAGCCUUUCAGAUUCUUUUGCAAAGGAAAAGAAAAUUCAAUCUUUGCACUUCGAAUGAUAAUUCCUUAUGUGAAAGCUUGUCCUUUGCUGGGAUGCUCAUGCAUAUGGAUCCUUGUGAAUGUGCUAUAUGUCUGUUUUCAGGCACGACCCCUUUUCAAGGACAGAAGGAAAUUUCCACAGAUGGCUGACCCGAUGCUUCAGGGCCAGUAUCCUGUGAGAGGCUUAUACCAGGCACUUGCUGUUGCUGCAAUGUGUGUUCAGGAGCAGCCCACCAUGAGGCCUUUAAUAGCUGAUGUGGUUACCGCUCUCACUUACCUUGCUUCCCAAACUUACAACCCUGAAGCCCAAUCAAAUCAAAAUACUUCUCGUUUGACAGCACCAGGUACUCCACCUCGAACAAGAAGGGACAGCGAAAAGAAAUCAAGUGGCGGAUCUGAAAAAGACCAGUUGAGAGGACUAAAAUGAAAUCAUCCAUUACUCUUGCUAGAGCAAGAAUGCUUCGAUUCCACCUGCUUUGCUAUCAUCUCCAGGUGCCAGAACAGUGAAAAAUUUUGCCUCGCUUCUAUUCUCUUUUGGCUGGCGAUUUGGUGCCUGGUUAUCGAAUUUUGUGUCAUCAGAAAACAGGCGCACCCUGUUUGAUUCAUGCCUAAAUUCUUCCAGAAAGUGGCUUUUUUUCCUCCCCCCCUUUUUCUCCUUGUUGCUGUACAUGUGAUUUCAGGCCUCUGUAUUUAAAUGUAUCUGUUUAGACAGCAUGUGCUUUUAUUGAUGUUGUUAUUUUUUAUAUCUGCUUUUAGAUACAACAACAGUGUUUGUUCACAGAAAACUAAAGGUUUAUGUAGUAUGAAAGCAUUGCCAAUUUACCAUUUUUAUUAUCAACUGCACUUGAUUCCUCAGCUUCCAUCGGUGUAGCUAUCAAUAAACCUGCUCAAAUUCCAGCGAUUUGGCAGAAAAAAGGUGGAUUCAUGGCAUGUCUGAUUUAAAUUGUGGCAACCAUUAUAUGGCUUUGAUGUACUCAUGUAUCAUGGCUUUGACUAACUAGGUUCUUCUAAAAUGCCAUUUUGGGGGGUUAUUGCAACAUGAACAUUUUCCAUUCUAUUUCAGCUGUUCUACCAUGAUUUUCCUUCUAUUUCCAGGAACCAAGACGUGAUAUAUGUGGAAUGUCAUUUGAAAGCAAGUAUUCUAUGACUUCAGGUUGAGGCUAUGAUUAGAAAUGGAAUCCUCGCAAUAUUUGAAGAAAGAUAUGCCAAGAGGCCCAAUUCUAGUACUCAUUUUCCCACUGCAGUGGUGAUAUUAUGUGGCAUGAUGGUAUUGGUGCUUCACUUCUCUCAGAAAAGAUGGUGUUGGUGCUCUAAACUUGAACCCACGAUCCAUUGUUCUGCAUGGCGCGCCAGCGGAAAAAGGGCAAGUUUAGGUUGUAGAGCUAUUUUGAAUAUGAGAAUGUCAGUGUAGACGUGACUCACGUGAACUUACCCCUGAUAACCAGCCAGGUCUUGGCAGCCCUGCAAAGUAGCAGGCAUGAUAAAUGGUGGUAUGGUUACUAUCAGUCGAUAUUCCUUCAGCGAAUUAUGAUGUUGAGACAUGAGUGGCCUGUCUGACUGUGAUAUCUCUUUACUGAUGCCAUGUGGAUUCUAUAAUGGAAUCCCGGCCAAUUGAUCCGAUGAAUCUACUAUCUAUAUUUUAUGCCAUGUGGAUAGCACAUUCAUCAUCAUAGAAGUUGUUCAGGACUACUCAAUUACAAGCCUCUAUUUUUCCUUUUAGCUCAUUGAAUACCUGCAGACUGAAAGGAUUGGUAGCAUUACAAAUAUACGUUAAGAUACCAGAGUGUUAGUAGGUGAAGGUUUUCUAAUUGAAAUAUGAUAUCAGGCAUCUAUGGAAAUCAAAUGAGGAUUCUUCUGAGAGAUGAGCUAAUCAGAUGGUGAGCAUGAGCAUGCCAUGACCGGAUCAUUCAUCUUGACUGUCUUUAAGUUUUACUUAUGGUGUGUUAUGGCUGUAAGUCUGAAAGAUUUUGCUGGAAUCUAAAACAAAAUCUAAGAUAUUAGAAACUUUUGUAUCAAGUUAAACUUUUCUUCCUUUAAAUAUUAGCUUUCAAGCAGGAAACAAUAUCUAUUGCCAGUUGUCAGAUCUUAUGGACUUCAAAAACAUUUGAUGCCUGGUGACAUUAUAACUUAACGUAGCUCAACAUCUUCUCCAGAAUUAACCGAAGGAUUUCAGAUCUGAUUGGCCAUUUGGCUCAAGAGAUUUUGUUUCAAGGAGAGCAAUGUCAUGCUAGCACUUGGCAGGUUGCCUAGACCAAUGUCUGCACUUCCAAUGAGCCCUCUAUCCGUGAACGGGGUGGCCGUCCGGACAAGCGAGACUUGAUUUGAAAUGAGAGAGAAUGCUCUUUUACAAAUGCAGCGAGCCAGGUGGGUAGAGUUAAAAUACAAUUAUCAACUGGUGCACGAGCGUCUCCAAUCACCAAAAUUAUUUAUUGGGUAGAUGAAGGUUAGAUAGGUACGGUAACUUGAAGAUAAUUUAUGAUGCAAAAUUGCCAGAACCGUGCCGCUCCGCUGUUUACGAAGUAUUUAGCAGCUUGUACGGCCACCAAGUGUGGGACGCGACCAGCAGCCGACUGCCAUUGUGGAUGGAUUGUGGUCCAGACUUUGGAGUUGGUGAUGAUUCCUCCCUAUUUUAAAGCCAUGAAGUACGGAGCUCAUGCAGCAUCUAUCGCCACUGAAACAGUAUGCAGUGGGCAAGUGUCUGAUUUGAGGACAUGGAGGCAAAAUCUUUGACUACUCUUCGCCAGCCAGCCAACACGAAGGGGUCAUUGCUAUGGGCAAGAAGACCCCUAGUCUGGCUUCUCCUUGCAUUUAAUAAUUGUCCUUCUAGGCCAACAACGUCAAGUCUAACGAUUCCCGGCUCAACAUGAUUCCUGGGCGUGACGCCAAAAAGAUUGUCGGCAGGCCAAGGCGACCUCUACCCCGGCUAGUCAGGUGAUAGCCCUUCUCGAGCCUUGCGGCCUUCGGGUUGUGGUCGGGUGGCUCCGCGACACGCGGCGUGUGCCAUGUGGUCAAGCUGGGGACGUGUGAAGCGGUGGUCGGGAGAGUCCGGCGACGCGACGGCAACCAUCUGACAUCCAGUCGUCUAGGAAUCAGAGACCAAUAAAAUAGAGGACAUGCAGUACAUGUAUUUCAACAAAGAAGAAGAGACUUCACCAAGUAAAACGAAGAAGAAGAGACAAUAGCAGUCCCAUGCAUUGAACUCAUUCAUGAUUUUUGUGGAAGUAUAUAGUAUUGACGUGUCAGCAUUUGGCACACUUUUUGGUAAAGUAAUAAAUAGUGUUGACGUGUCAGCAUUUGGCACACCGGUACAGCAAAGUGCUGGAAAAAGGAAGAAAAAUCUGAAGACAUAAUUCGCCGAAGAAAGGGUAAUGCCAUUGUCGGUUGUGCUGAUCGAAGGAUACGGUCCCCUUUGCAAGGUGUCAUACUGGUGGAAAGCCAGCUGACGGUCGCAGACAAGCGGUCUGCCACUUGACGACUUGGGUUGUCUGGCUGCAGCUCACAAGAUGAGGCCGGUGCGGUCCAUCCAUCCAUUAUCCAUGCGCUUCGCAUGCAUAUGUGUAAAGUUCGUUGAAACGACUCCGCUUGGUUUGUUGAAAAUUAUGUUCCACCAAGAGAAAUAUCCCACUCUGCAUUAGGUAGCAUCCAUGAUUUCAAUGAAAUAUAUAACAAAAAUUUCUCAUCCCUUCUUGUGUCCGCUACUCACAAGAUUAGUGAAACAAUGGCCGACCAGCUUGUAGCCGGCAUUUAAAAGAUACAAGGUUAUUACCAAAUCUACAGACUCUAUGAGUUGGACUUUGUACAAACGGGAAAUGGCAACUGAUCAUAUCGAAUACUUUUAUAAUUUAAUGGAACUUCUCUAGCAGAAAUAUAAAGACGGUAUAUGACAACAAUACAACAAGAGGUGAUGUGGCAUGCUGAUGUGCUAAUUUCGUCCAUGACAUUCUACUUAGCCAAAUCUUGAUGACCAUUCAGAUCUUUGUUCGGUGUUUUGGGGCUCUGUCCCACGCUAGAAGGUUUGCCUUCAAUGGACUCUUCAGAAUUGCUUGGCUUACCCUGAAACUUGAUGAAUUUGAAAUCGGAAUCAGUAGAAUCAAAACGUAAUAACACAUCUUAAUAUAGCCACAGGUUUUAGGAUGGGAUUUCUGAGUUCUUUCUGCCCUGAAUAUUACCUUUUCUGGUACAGAGGGCAUUAUUUACAUUAUUGACACAUUUUGUGAAGUAAAAUCAAAGGAUCAGAAUGAAUGCAUUUUCAAUUAUACAAAUGACACACAGAAAGCUGUGGAAGAAUGCCUUAUGUCAAAUGGCACAUAUUAUUUUACUCGAUCAGAUCUCUUGGCAAACAUGUCCCCUAGAAGCAUGCCACUUCCUUUUGUCACUCAUUUCAUGUAAUUGUUAUAACAAACAGAAAAGGAAUCGAGUAAUUCUCAUGAGUCAAACCAUAAAACUAUGGUUCAUCUAUCAAAAGAAAUCACUUCAAUAUGAACAUUGUCCUAUAUGUCAAACUAAAUAUCAAUUGGCACAUUCAAAAUUAUUACAGAACUCGUUUGACCAUCAUGUUGGUCGGGAUCAAAGGACCUCAUAACAAGUAGUAGUCAUAAAGAAAUAGAGCAGAAUAGCUAAAAGUGAGAUGGAGGAUAAUGAGAUAUUUUUGAUAUAUGUUAAUGUGUUUGCAUGUGCAUGUCUGUGUGUACAUAUAAAAAUUCUAUUUUUCAAUCAUAUAAAUUCUAAAGCAACAAAAUUUCCUAUCUAAGAACCUAAGUUAAAAUUUGGAAGCUUCAUGGUUAAGGCGAGUCUAUGAUGGGUCAGUAUGCAUUCUUUCCUUACUUUCCAGCAUGCUUUUGACCUUCUGUUAGAGCCAAAGAGGUUGUCCCUAUGCCACUAAGAUACACCAAGUAUGAGUAACCGUUCAGAACAAACAAUUUGGCACUAAUAAAAUAUGUAAAAACUAUAUUAACUACUUGACAAGCAAAUCAUCACUUGCUGGACAGACAUAUAACUGGUUUGCAUAGGAAUAUUGCAACCAAUGAAAUUUUAAUAGCUGACUUUAAAAUAACUACCUUGCUCUUGUCAAGCCAGCCAAAUGGUCUGGAGAGCAGUCCCAUUUUCCUGGCAGGUGCAUCCUGAGAAACCUCUUGAUUGGCUCGUGGAGUUCUGCAAAAUAAAUCACUCAAUGCUGAUUCUGAUAUUCAUUUUGAGUUAAAAGCAUGCACACCAUGCCUAUAUCCAUCAACUUAAACUGAGGGGCCAUUUGCUGGGGAUAAUCUGGCAUGAAAAAAUGAUUCUCAUGUCAGAUUACCAUGUUUGGUAUCAAAAAUGGAAGAGAGAGAUGGCAAAAAUUAUUGAUGGGCCCCAUGUUUAUUUUUCGGAGAGAGAUGGUAAAACAAAUACCAUGGGAGGUUAGUAUUUAGUAAAUUUUCGAGUGGUGGUAAUCCAUACUUAACAAAUUUACCCCCAAUAAAGCUGAAUAUAUAAUCAUUGAAUUUAUUUUGAUGUCUUUUUAAAUUCAUUUAAUAAAAAAAUUUUGCAAAAUAAUUAAGAUGAAAAUAGUAUUAUGUAAAAGACUGUGAUUAUAGUCAUUACAAAAAAACUAAUUGAAGAUGACAAUGCUAUCCUAGUAUUAAAAAAUUAUUUUAUGUUGAAGGAUAUAUUUGUAAAUUUGGCCAUAUUUCUAUGUAGAUUUAUCUCCAACCAAAUGUAGUAAUCUUUUUCCAGUGUCAUUUUCCAGAAUAAUUUUUCCAUCAUCCAAACACAAUAAAAGUUAAUUUUCUUCAUAAUUAUUUUCUCAAAUAAAUGAUUCCCAGAAAUUGUCAAAUUAUCCUGUAAUCUAACAUACCCCAAGUAAAUGGACCCUAAGGAUUUGUUGCGGUGAGAGAGUAAAAACUGGAACAUGCUAUCACAACCUGUGCACCAAAAAUGCAUUUAUGUUUAUCUAAAUUUUAGAACAUUAGUGGGAUAAAAGAACCAUGCAACUUAAUGAAACAUACGCAAGCAGACAGAGUACAUGGUAAGGAGAAGAAGAUGCCCUGCUGACAAUGAUUCAAUCCAAGAACACAGUUCAUCUUAUAGCAGUUAAAAUGACUGCGUGCAAAAUAAAUAGUAUCUAAUAAGAAAAAGAUGGAGAUACCUCGGAGAAUGAGGUUGAUGGGCUUUAAUCUGGCCAGACUGGUAUUGCAAUGUGGCCUCCAGCAUUGUUUCUGCCAUCACAGCCCUUUUCUCCAUUUGUGCAAGUGCAGACAUGGCUUCUUCAUAUUUUUCCUGCAUGUGUCAGGUAAAAGCACGUCAAAACAUACAGCUCCUGAAGAAUCACAUGAAAUGAGUAGAUAUGUGAAGUUCAAAAUAUAAAGGGUGCAAUCACUCAUUAUCCUCCUAGGAAGCAGAGGGUAAAUAGGCCAAAAAGGAACACUGUGAUUACACAAUCCGGGAGCAGAUAUCACUUAAAGCAUAUUCUUAAUUGAAAACAGAAGACUCACAACUCUUCUACAAUUUAUGUUACAAACUGCAACUUUUUCAGAAAUUACCGAGUGUUCUUCAUUAAGAGCUCAGAAUAAAACAUUUUCAGUACCUUUGCAAUGUAUACAAUUCCUACAAACAUAGAUAAAACAGACACCGUGCUCAAACAUGAUAAAUGAUGCCCAAUCUGUGAUCUUCAUUUAAACCCAAGGAACAGCCAAAAUUAUUUAAUAAAAUGACCAACCCUUACAAAUUUACUCUCAGAAAAGAAACAAAAAAAAAUCAGUUAGUUGAGAAAAUCCCUGAGAUUUUACUGUCAAGAGGAACAGCCUUAAAGGUAUCUCUGUGACAACAGAGAGCUUGAUCAGAUAACAACAUGCCAAAAAUCAAAAGUGCAAGUUAGCAAGAAAAGGUACAGAUCUAGAGUUUACACAUUCUCAAUCCAGUUUGAGGCCUAAUUCACAUCCUUUUCUAUGAAAGCAAGAAUUCUGAAGGACAUACAAGUCACUUGUCCAUACAUGUUUAUAGAGCCAUCUCUUACUACCAGAAGUAUAUUUGUAAUGUCAAAGGUCAAAAGUUGAAGUGAAAACUGGAAAAAAUCUUCCUUGUGUGGCUCCACUAAAGAUGAAAUGAAAAAUCAAAAAUGAGUGUGAUUGUAUAACAUUCUGCCAAAGCAGCCCCACCUAUAUAAAACAAUCUUAAAGUCAUUAUAGUCUCCUGUAUAUAGCAAAUAUGAUUUUGGAGAACCUUGUAGUGAUCAUAACACCAUAAUUAUAAUCUGAAGCACAAGUGUAUUAAUCAUACCAUUCAACGUGAAUGGACUUUCUCCAUCCAAUAGUCCAAGUUCAGCGGGGGAACAAACUUAUUAGUUCCAAAGAAAAAUGUAGAAGACCCUAAGCCACCAUAAUGCAUAACAAAUUCAGUGGUGAGAAAUCACCUGGAGCAGAUGAGCUGCGUAUUUCUGAGCAGCAGCAUCUUGCUCAGCAGAUAUGCGAGCAUCUUCCAUCACUUUCUGUUCUUGUUCUAUCCUCAUCAAGACCUAUACUAUUUAUGACAGAGCUUCAAUUCAUGUAUAAAACAAUGGUGUUGCAUACGAGGGCAAGUAAGCAGGCUAGAGAAAUGGAUAUGAUAUAAGAAGAAACACCUGAAGCAUGGCACGCUCUUGUUCUUGCUUAUCUGCAAGUGCCUGCCGCAGUUCAGAUACCUCUUCCUCCAACUGCUCAGCCUGUCAGAUGAAUUCCUUUUGUUGAAAUAGGAAUAUCAAGCAUGGCAGAGAAAAAUACAAAAACAUAUUUAUAAAUGUAACUAAAAGUUUAGAUGCAGUCCAAGUAUCAGCAAUACCAAUCCAUAGGUUUCUUGGUAAAAUUCAUAAACAACACUUGAAAAAGAGGGGGAAAAAACUACAAAAAAUGGGAAUAAAUUUGAAGUUUUUCAAUGUCAAAAACAAAAUUGUGACAUUACUCUCACAAUUUAUGGUUCCGCAAUUGGCAAAUAUUGAUGUAGCUUGUACCAUACCCACGUUCUUCCUCAUUUCUGAAAUGGGUACAACAUAGGGCCCUUGUCUUCUGCUUCGCAGCUUUGUGGCACUUUUAAUAUAGGUUUUGCGUUAAUUACUGAGUGAAGGAAGAACAAGAAGUAUGCUUAAGUUAUGAUUCCAUGCUCAAUUCUUCCUCUGGUGCCUAAUAGAGUAUGCCCCUAGAUGCAUUUCUGCAGUGGAUCUGGUUUUUGAGGAUAACUUGUAGAGAGCUGUUUUCAUUGGAAGUAAGUGUACCCAUUAUCAAGUUGAUAAAUACAAAUCAAAUGGAAAAUUAUAACACUAGACAGAGACCCGAAACUAAAAAAAUGAAUAUAUUAAGAAGUGAAUCUUUAUGAUAUGUGCUUCGGGCUGUCAAAUAGAAGAAAUGCAUCAAUGUUCUUUGGUGUGAGUUCCAAUAUCUCAUUGUCAAAUAGAGUUCAAACUCCCUCUUCUCUUGCUGUAGCAUCUUAUCACAACCCGUGACCUCAUCCAAAAAGAUUAGCCAGAAGAUGUUAUUUGGAUUCCUUGACCCAAUAUAAGUAACCAAGACAAAUCCAGUGCAUAGCCAAUGUGGACUAAACACACGCUUGCACAAGUCCUCACAUAACCUCCCUCCUCCUCCCCUCCAUUUAAGCCUUGGUGUCCUUACUAGGCUAAGAGUCCAAACUCAUCCAAAUCCACUCAUAAAUACUAUAAAUCUAAUCACAAACAUCAUGAUCAGCUUAUUGUUUACCCAAAUGGGUCACGUUAUAGUGUCCCCUACCCCAGUUGGGCCAUAGGUUGAGUCCGUUCUAAUACCAUCUACUAAAACCCAGGUCAUCAUCCAGAAAAGCUUGCCAAAAGAUGUCAUUUGGAUUCCUCGGCCCUAUAUAAGUAUCCAAGAUCAAUCCAAUGCAUAGCGGAUAUAGACUAAACACAAGCACGUAGGGGUGCUCACACAUCCCCUCCCUUAGUAUGGAUAUAACUGAAUCAUUGAAAAAGCUUGUGAGAUCUCUCCUGGCCCAGUGUUCUCUAUGUUCGCUCUAUUUUUUUCCCUCUCUUAUACCCUCCCUUACUGUCCCACAUUCAUGCUUUCUAUGUACCAUCAUUCUCCCUCUCCUAUCAUCCCAACAUUCCUAGAUGCUCUUUUGUACAGACAAUUACACAUGCAAAUGAGAGCAAAAACACAAGCUCAAAUAUCUUGUACUCCUACUCAGGUCACAUAAUUAGCCACACAGUCAAGUUGGUAGCUCUCAAGCUUAACUCUAGGUCAUCACCCUAUAUCUAUAGAAAGAUCUCCAAGAAUGUGAGGUAAUUGGAAACACACACAGACACACACACACACACACACACACACACAGAGAGAGAGAGAGAGAGAGAGAGAGAGAUUUGAAAAGGUUUAAGCCAAAAAUUUAAGGUCUGCUUGUCAGUUAUAAGUUUAGCAGAAACAACUAAUGAGACGUCCAAUGAAGGAUGCAAAGGACAUAAAUAAAUGAAAGAACAAGAACAAAACAACUACUACAUGAAUUUGAGAUGAAGAUUAGCAUUUGCAUGCAUUACUAAAUUAGAUCUUCAAAUAUAAAGAGGCCCAUAGGCUUCUGUCUUCCAUGGUUUCCUGAGAAAAGGAAAGGAAGAAUUGUUCAUACAGAGAAACUAAAAUAAAAGAUAAGAAUUUUCUUCUUUGGGUGAUACAAGAGAAAGCUGUUGAGAAUGUUAGGGUAUGGGUAUAAUCAAGGCUCGCCGUCUCGGUAUCUAACUCUAUACCUGUAAAAUCCUAUUAUAGUAUCCAUGUACGAUUUGGUACGGUACGAUAGUAUUGAUAGGGGUGGUACUGCAUACUGGUAUGAUACGUUAUGCCCCAUAUUGGGUGGUAUGGGGCAGUGCAGCAAAACAAUAGGUAUCAUCAUGAUCCCCUUGCCUUCUGUUAUUUUCUCUCAAUACCACUACCCAAAUUGGAAGAAAAUUUUUGACGUAUCUUAGAGAGCCUAUCCCCUAAUUUGUCCUUGCAUCUCUCCCUAAAUUUAAUUUUCUCCUUGCAUUCUCCCCCUGAAUUUGUCUUUCAUUACCACACACUGGGAAAAAAUUAUCACUCCGCUCCAAACAAAAGAAAAGGAGGAAAAAGAACUUUUUCUCUCACUCACUUCCUCAGCAACCAAGCAGAACCUUCUUGUCAUAGAUAGAAUACGUGGAGUCCCUUGUAGAUUUAAUUUAGAACUUGCUGUUUCUGACACUUUUAAUCUACCAAACUACUAAGAGGUCAGCAUGGAUGACAUACAUAAGCAUAGAGAAGAAAACUCCCGAACCAAGCAAGAAGAAUUUCCAUGUGGAAAAAAUAUAUAUCACAUGCCAACCAAAGAUUCUUCACAUAAAUGGUCAUGUAAAUUUAUGAAAAGAAUGGGAUAAAAAAUGGAUGAUAAUCACAGUAGUUGCAGAAAACUAUUCUUAUUUAUAGAUGGCUAAAAAUAUGAGACUAUAUUGCCACCAGCAACAGAAGCUAUCUUAUAGGCAUCACGAGAAUCUACCUUGGCACUCAAAAGGUGCCUAUUAUCCUGCUUGACCAUCUCCAUUAAUGCUGUCUCCAACUCCUCGGCUCUGGCAUAUAAUAGCAACAGCAAAUAAAAUUUGUAUUUUACUGAAGUUAGAGAAGACUUGAAAUAUGGCUUUUGGGAAGACAUUAUAGUGUUGCAAAACUGUAUGUUUUAGAAAUGCGAAAACAAAAGAUAAGUGACCACACAAUUGGGUAUUAGAGCAAAAUCUCAACACAGAAUGGGAAAAAAGUUUAAACUCUAAAGUGUGCAUGCAUAUGUCAAUGUGUAGCAGUUAAAAAAUCAAGAUAAAAUUGCACACAUUAAAUAUUCCAUGUAAGCCAAACAAGUAGCACAAAGAACCUUUCCUUUUUCUUCUCAGAAAAUGGAGAACAUCUACUGAAACAUGAUGCUGCCCACAUUUUUCAAUGUUAUCCUUGCAUAGUAAAUUAGGUAUUUAAGCUGGCACAUAAAAUUGAGGGAACUUUGAAUUCAAGGAGAGCAUAAAUAUCAACUAAGUCCUAGUGAGAUUUUUGUAUUAUAUAAUAUAUAGGAACAUAAGAUAAUUGCUUGAUCUAUUCAACUCUCAUAUGGUGAACUUUAUGACUUCAAGAACAUGAACAGCAAGAUCUUCAACAAUAAGAAAGAUACUCAAAAAUGAUCCAGUAAGCUUGUGGUGGAAUUUGCAGUCAAGUAUUUCAAAUCAAAGGAAACCAUAUCUGGGGGUAAUCAAGAUUUGAAAGUGACAUUCUGGAGUCUUGCAUCCAGGAUCCAACAGAUUUGAAUUCAGUGAAGUCAAAAUCCAGGGGAGAAUUAAGUAAAACAAUUAAUAUGGCCAGAAUACUGAUUAUAAAUGAAGAAGAGAACAUAGCCAAAAAUCACAUACAAUCAGUGAAGGUGCCAGAGGCGAUAUUACCCCAAAACAAAUUCAAGUAUAGGGCUGAGUUAAAGGUCUUAUGAGAGGGGGUCCCAUGAUCACUCACAGGCUCUGCAACAUGAAAAGCAUUUGGGUGAAGGUGGCUUCUCUAGCAAUCACUUCUUGGGUUAAGGAAGAUUGUCAAGAACAAGAAAAUAACCUAGUGGUUAACACUAGGAAUUUUUUGGGUCAAAGUAAUGACAAGCACAUCUUACAUACUUAAAAAGAGGGCUGCUAGUUACAGAUUCGAAUGCAAAGUGCACCAGGCUCCGUAGGUCAUUUGAUGGUCAGUGCAGAACUUUCCGAGUGAUUUUGUUAAACCACAAAGCUAAGCCAAGUAAAGACCUUGUACUGUGAAGAAGUUGGUGCAAUUUCAAGGAAUUACAGCAUACAAGGUAGGUGAAUGAAAAAAAUACAAGUUGCUGGAGACUACAUGAAAGAAUCCACUGACACUACAGGAGAUUUAUUCAUGUUAGAUAAGUUGGUAUGGCAAGGUCAUAUAAAUUUCUUGCUUUCUUUUCAUCAUAUUUGUAGUGGCAAGUGUCAAGAGUACACUGUUAUUGGGCAAUUUAUAAUUUCUUUUUCGCCUUAAAACCUUUUUUUUCAUCAAUCCAAAAAUAAAAACAUGCAGCAUUUAAAUCAAGCCCAACCUAAAAGCAACUUCUAUGCCCCCCCUCUUUGACAUCACAUGAAGAUACCAUAUUAGGCAUAAUACAUAAAUUCCGGUUGACAAAAGGGAUUGAGAGAUUAAUUAUGUCAGGAGCCAAACAGCACAUGCACUAAUUUAGAGUAAAAUUAAGAAAAGAUCUAAGAUUCCCUGUUCUUUAGUGAAGUUCACAACAUUAGGCUCACAUGACCGACCUGGACACACCAAGGACACCAACCUGAGAAGAGCUGAUCUUUUCUCCUCCAGCAAUUUGCACAACUCAACCUUCAGCCACUUCACCUAGAUAAAAAUUGCAUAUCCUUUGAAUUGCAACAUAAGUAUAAUGAAAACAAUGAGAAGGAGAACUGCUCAAGCAUUUAGACCUCUCAAGAAUGAUUAACCAAUAGAUGUAUUGCAUGUUUCCUCAUAAAAAAACUAAUGGUUUCAUAAUAUAAAAGGAAAGCAGAUCCAUCAAUUGUAUUUCAAUUUUCAGCAUUGAAUAAAACAGUAGAACAGUACUUCACAUUGAUGCUAACAAUUCAACUUCCCAAUAGGAAAGACAUGCCAUAUUCUUUUAGAUCUGGAGAAUAUUGUAUUAACCAUAAAACAAGUGCAUCACUGGUUAAUUUCUAAGAGAGAGAUCUACAUGACCAUCUGAAAAUUCAUGGUCCAGAUUGGCAAUGUCAAAUAAUUGGGAGAACGUUUGUUGAUUAAUGUUCACAAUAUACAGGCUCCAGUUUUUGCACUGUCUGUAAGAACAUGGAAACAGGAAUGCUUGUUUACAUAACAGUGAAUAUCUACACUUAGCUGCAAUAAUCAGCAUGCUUGUAAGCCCAAAUAUUGGACCUAGCGCUUCUACCAAGAAAGUCGAGUACAGAGGCCUUGAAUGUCUUCUCCUCCUCAAAAAUAUGUCAUUGAUGCAAAAGAUGAAGGAAACUCAAACAAUUGUAAAUAGGCAGCCUUCAAUGUUCUAAAAGAUGGGCAUAACUCUUUCUUUGUUAGAUUUCUAUAAACUGCACACAAGCAGUCAUUAAUGUUCCAAAAUACUGCAUAUCUCUUUCCUCCUUUGAAAUCCAAGGCUGUGUUUUUCAACUACCAUAUCCUAGUGCCAGCAGACUUAUUAUCCCUGGUACCAUUUCCUACCUGGCAAUACCUUUUUGCUUUUUCACUUAUUUUUUGUCCCUACACACUAUUCUGGAGAUCGAACACAUCAUAUAACUUCACCAUCUAUUUCUCCCUCCCUGUUUUCUUCCAUUUUGCCAUUGAAGAAGAGUACGAGAGUAUCUGAUGAGCGAUGCCCUGUCAAAUCAUCAAAGCAUUUCUUGCAUUUUGAACAGAGGGGCAUGUGCAUAUCACCUGGUUCCUUACAUAAAUAGUAAGAGUAACGUUACUAAUAUAAUGCAAUAAUUGAUUCAUUCCAGACUUGGAAUCCAAUUUCCUGGUAUUGAUGAAAAAGAAGAGAGGCAUUCAAAGUACAAUGCUUCUGCACCAAAGUUAGGUUGUACGCAAAUCAAUAGUAAUAGAGCGGUACAAUGUGUCUAAGAAUUUCCAGCUAUAACUCCCAUUGCUUGUUUUCUGUUAGAUAUUCAGUUGUCUUGCUGGCAUAUUCAAACCAACAAAUAAUCAUGGCAAGAAUUAGGAAUGAUAAGCAGUUUCUUUCCAUACAUUAUUCAGCAUCAAGGCACUUCAGUGUACUGAAAAUUUUAAGCAUGAUUUCAAAACUUGCCGAAGCAAGAUGGUCGACCGGUAUCAUACCAUUCUAGCAUGAAAAUGGCACCAGGACAGAUUUCAGGAUGCCGAAAUAGCCAUACCAGUAUGUACCAGCUGUACUGGUCUAUACCAGUUCAUACUGGCAGUAUAGUAUUGAGUCUAUUGACUAUGCCAGUUGGUACUGAUGGUUUUUCAAUUUUUUGAAAGCUGUCAGUUUCGGUGCAUAAUGUUGUUGCUGGCUUUGUACCAAAUAUCAAACUAUUCCAAGGGGGAAAGGGUACAGGAUUUGAUCCUGCUAUUUAAAACCUUGAUUUUAAGCAUAGAAUUUCUCCUCAAUCACAUCUUGCCAAUUUUAGUUUAGAAAAAUUAGAUAAUUAAAUUGAUUUUAGCUUUGAAAAUUCUCAAUUUUUUUUAUGUUUUAAGGCAUUUUACCUAAUCGAGUUACAUUCCACCUGUGACACAUCAGGUGAUUGAAGGCAACAAGUUGGGCACCGUCAUAAGUGAUUUAUCUACAGCACCAGCCAUCUAUAUUCUUUUAUGAAAAGAACUAAGAAAGAACUUUAGUUUAACCAAUAAAUAAUUACCUCUUCUUGAAGAUCAGGUAUGGAAUCUGUCUCUGAAUCAACUGUUAGACUAUUCAAAUAUCCCCCUAUAUCUGUGGAUCCGGACUUCAAGUUAUGCAAAUCCCCAUUGGUUUGUGUGUCACCUAAUGCCUCUGCCAAGUUGGCUUCUGUAAUUAUGGAUCCUGGGUCAUGUUUGAAACUAUAUAACUUAGAUGCUAGGCCCUUAGAGUCCUUCCACGCUUUGAGUCCUCUGGAUCUUUCCUCCAUGGCAGCUAUAACUGCAGGCCUAUGCUUUUUCCUCAACUGAUUCAACAUUCUUUCAUCUAUAGCUUGAUAACCCAUGCAAGCUGUCAAGACAAGCUGGCUACUGUCAAACGUAGAGCCAGCAAGGGAUUGCAAUAAUGUAACUGCAUCUCCAGCAUCUUUUGUAGUCACGACCGCAGGACCUAAAAAUUGACAUGCGAUUUAUUUAAAAAAAUAUUAUACAUACUACAGAAUGAACAUAAUACAAAUAUUAAAGGAAUAUUAUUGAAUGAGAUCAUUAACUAAAAUAGGUUUAUGCGGUACCAUAUAAUUCCAUCAAAGCAAGUGCUGUUCGGAAUAACAUGAGCCGAUUUCCAUCAAAGAGAAGCACAUCCCAUAUACGAAGAACUGAAAUUAUAAACACCAUCACAUAUCAGAGAUCUUUGUCAAUGGAUACUAUAGCAUGAAAUUUUGAAUUGUAUCAAGGAGCAAGUAUAUGAUGAGUUUCUAAAAGAAAAAGACCAUCUGGCAUUGUAUUCAGAAAUUUGUAAUCAAUGCAUUAAUGGAAUGGAAGUAAGACAUUAAUAAAACCUGACCACUUUCCCAAGGAAGCAUAUUCAUGAAAAUGGAAAGGAACCAAGGUCCGGUGACCCAUGCCACCUGCACGCCCAGAUAAUCCAAAUGAUGAACUGCAAAACAAUAGAAAAUAUGGAGUUAUGUAACAGGUUUUCCAAUGAGUGUGAUUGCAUGCAUACAAAUAUACAGCAAUACACAUAUACACAAAAUGAAAUACAGACCCAAUUUUGGAAAUUUCUCACGCACUAGCUCCUCAAAAACAAGCUGAUCCACCUGAUGCAAAACACGAUUAAGUAGAAAUUAAGAUAUGUAAUAUUAGUCAUCAGCAAUAUUAUCCCUUGAUUCCACCUCAUCAAUUUCAGAUAGAUAUGGAAGGAAAAACUAAAAGUGGUUGCUAGAAAGAUCCUAAAACAGGACAAUUACCUGAGAUUCAAUCAUUUCCUCGGAAUAAUAGCCAUCAAAGUAAUCAUCGAUAAUACCCAAUAGUGUCCUGAUGAAUUUUGAAAUAACUUAGAACAGCAAAAGAAAAGCAACUUGCAAUAGUUACUAGAAUAAAUAUGUUUGAUCGCAAAAGUUGAGUUUCAUCAUCAGCAAUCAUGUAACUUUUCUUCUGCCAGCUCAGACUUUAAGAGGAAUUAAUCAUGAAAACCUAAUACUUUUUCAAAAAUAAUUAUGGAAACCUACCAAAAUGCAUUUUCCUCGGGCAUCAGCAAGAGUAACAAGCCUGCAAAGAAAUUCAUAGCCUGCAGGGACAAAGUCUCAAAUUUUUAAGUAGACUGGAUAAAAUGCGUUAUUGUCAAGCACUUUCUCUAGCUCAAGGUCCUUGAUGCAGCCUAGACACCGACUAACACAAGAGUCUGAGUCCAUAAAAUAUGCGAAAAUAGAGAUAAAAAGUAGUGCAAUAAUCAAAUUCUUUGAAUCAUCUCCCAGAAUAAAUCACCAUACAAAGGCAUGUAAAUACAAACUGUCUGAUAAAGAGAUACUUAAAAAUAUGACUUUCUUGGAUCUCUUCUGCUAAAAAUAAGAUUUAGACCAGCCUAAACAUAAAGGCUCAUAUUACAGAACAACCAAGAAAUCUAAAACCUGAACAAAUAAAUUGACCUGGAUCUCAUCUUAGUAGCCAGUGCUCAUCACCAAGUGCACCACAUGCAUCACUCCAAGCUCACCCUCGAGCUUCUGCUAAGCUUUUGUAAUCAAUUUCUCAGCUCCACAAAGUUACACAUGUUAAACAUUUUAAAAGCAUUCCAUGGUAAAUAACUGGCAAUACUUUGUAGUGAUUGAAUGGCAGAAUAAGGAAUUGACCGUCCAUCUUGAUCAUAAAAGGAGGAAAAUAAAGAAGCCAGCCUGCGGCUAUUGGCUAGUAACAUGAUCAGGAAAGAAGGAUAUUUGACCCAUUCUAAACGAACUUACUUCCUCAAAAAUCUUCAUAAUGACAGGAUGAUUAUCUUUUAAGAUCAAUUGAGGGAUCAAAUCUCCAUUCAUAUUGUAAUUUAUUAAGGGCCAGCUGCGAGUGGAGCAUCGAAAAGUGAAGUGAUCCAUGCUAGCAUGCUAAUGGAAAGCAAAGAAGGGGAAAGAAACUUUACAUCUUUGUGAUUUACUACCAUGCAGAAAGCAAACAAGGUGAAGGGGAAUAAGGCAACCAGAAUAAUACAAUUACGGAACGAAACUUCACAUGAAAAUUGUUUCAAAUCUGAUAAUGAAUUAUGUGGCUCACAACCCGUGGACAUGAUCGGAUAAUGUAAUCAAGGAAUGAAUGACUAAGGCAUGCUGGCCUCCUACUGACAUUUUUUUAACACACCUGGUGUUCUGUAAAUUUCCUAUUCCAACAUUUGUUCUUUUUUAAUUAGUCAUUUCAGCCUUUAAUGUUAGUUAUGGCAUUCAGAAACAUGAUCAGAAGUGGGAACGAGUGCGUAAACAAGGUUGAGAGGGAGUGAUGGGACCACUCAGAUGGAUGCCUUAAUUGCCAAUGCGAUGCUUUAUAGGUAUAGUGUUAUGAUUUCAAAUAUAGUGAAUGUUCAAGCAUGCUACCUACAUGCAAAACUUUUGCGGAUGUGUCAAACACCUGAAGAUACAUUUGGGAGUUGUUUAAUUAUGUAUAGCUAUACCAUUAGAAGCAGAAUAAUAGUAUAGCCACAAAUGGGUAUGGAUUAAAUGUGACUUAUGCAAAUUGCCAUAUCAGAACUAUCCAAGUUCUCUCAAUAAAUAAAAACUGUAUCAUGCCUAAAUCUAACUGGAGUUCGAAUAUGCCAUGACAUAUGGGAGUUCAAGCCACACUGAACCACACAAAACGAGAUGUCCAUCACUCCACACCUACUUUCAGGUGAGCUCGUCACCCUCCUCCCAUGCUCUCUCAUUUCUCUUUCCUUCAUCAUCUACAUCAUCUUCUAUUGUUCUUCUCUUUCAAUCACCUUCACCUAAGGCCAACCUUACCUUACCCAUGGACCUGGCUGAACUACUUACUGUCCUUCAAACAGGUAAGAUUGUUAACCUCAAAAUAAGAGUUUGUUUUGUUCUGGGAUCUGUUGCUUCCAGAGAUCUUCUUGUGUCGAUCCAUCAUGUGGCUUAUAAAGUACACACAUUUGUUUGGCCACUUACAGAUGCCAGCUUUUUUCCUUUCCCUUGGCGUAUCCUUUUAAUAUCCAUUUCUAUAUAUAUAUAUAUAUAUAUAUAACNNNNNNNNNNNNNNNNNNNNACUUUACCUUUUAACUUUACUACUACUAUACUUAUAUAUAUAUAUAUAUAUAUAUAACUUGUUUAAUAUAUUAUAUUUAGAAUAACAGAUCAUAUCAUUCUUGUGUACUGCAAAGCCUCAAAUUUUGAUAGCACCUCCUUAUACAAAUAAUGGUUUGUUAAUGAGAGUACAUGCUAGUGAUGAAAAUUACUAAUGAAUCCACACAAAGAAGUGUGAGAAUUGCUUCCCAUAUUUUAACAUGUCCAGCUGCAGGAUAAAAGUUUUGAGGAGAUAUAUGCCCUUCAUGCUUUUCUUCCACAUGAAUGGAAGUUAACAUCAUUAAAAGAAAAGCAAGAAUAUCGAGUAUCAGAUUCCAUCAAAUGAAAACCUCCAUAUCUUUGCCAGAGAAACGAGUCACCAAAAUACAUUAACUUCUAUAGAGUUCGGUCCUGAGUACCUGGCAGUACCCGACUGACGGAUUAUGGCGAGCAUAUGCUGUGAGCAAACGCCGUAGUGCGUUUCUCCCAUCCUCAUCUAAAGCAGGAUGACCUGGAAAUGUUCGAGGCAAAUCCUGUAAUGAGAGAAUACAAGUCAGGAUGAUGAGAAUCAUUCAUUUCAUAGCAGUUUCAACAACCCAAGAUUCUACGAGAUAACAAAGGGUGGACAUCGGACUUUAUAAUCCUUUAAUCAAAUGACCUUCUCGAUCUGUGUCUUCCAUUUCUCAGGUGUACAUCCUCCCUGAGGUUUUUUUGGCAUGCUAAUGGUGUCAUUUGGAAGGGAGGCAUCAGAUUCCUUAAUAUUAUCAGUGUUAGCAUCUAGAGCUAGCAAGUCGUUAUAGUAUCCCUCCACCCUGCGUGCCCUCACACCCACAAAAGCUUGCCAUAGCUGCGAUCAGAGUGGAAGAUAGAUUGAGAAAAGAUAAGCACCAGAUUACCAAAAACUAAUCAUCAUGAGUGCAAUAGUAGAGUACUGACUGCACCUCUCCUCUGAGAGCCAUUGGCACUCCUCCGCGAACCAGGCACUUCAGCUCUUCUUCCCAAGGAAAGAAAGGCUCCUGCGUUGCUACAGAAUCAGCAUUCCCAGCAUCACCUGAAAGCGCCUCCUCCUUGACUGCAUUCGAUCUCUCCACAUCAUAGAACUCUUCCUCAGACUCUCCUUCUUUAGAAGAUCUUGCAACCUCUUCAAUAGGUGCCAAGCAGUUCCCACUUCUCCCACGCUCUUGUUCAUCACUGGAUGGGCUCUUUCUCUUCUUCACCCGCUGACUCAUCAACUGCUCGAUGGCAGCGAGAGAUGGUCUUAUCUGACUCCAUGUAAGAGUUCUAUGGAUUUUCACCUUUUCUUUCUCAACCGGCUCCUUCUCUGCACCAACAUCCUCCGAUCCAUCACGUUUGUCCAUUCCACUCUGAUCGCUGUCAUUUCCUGAGACAUUUGGUACUUCCGCACCAAAAUCCUGUCCCGAUGAACCGUUGGAUAAUACCUGGGUAGACUCGGCCAGUCUUUCGAGGAAGUUCUUCCAUUGUUCCGAUCUCUCUUCUUCUUCCUCCUGGAAUCAUUGUAAGCUCAAAAUCUAAGCAACAUGCAGCCCGAACCUUGAUAUAUUAAUUUGAGGAGUAAAAAAGAAAGGGAAUUAAAUGGAUUGCCUUGUAGAUUUUUGCAUAUUCCCGGUAUCUCUGCAAGUGUUGAGGCCGAACCGCGAAUCCAUAGGCGUCCCUGUUUAGAUUUCAUACCAUCAACCGGCUACCAAGAACAAGUCCCUUAUAACUGAAGUUAACGCUGUAACUAGAGAUUCAAAAAUCAAGAACCCUAUACCUAGACUCAACGUCCAUGGAAAAACAAAUCAAUCAAAACACCAUAAUAAAACUCCGAUUAGAUCGUCCAUCCCACUGGCUCUAGAAGAACGCAUUUGCCAUCGCAACUAAAACCCUAGAAUCCGUAAAAAUCCCUACUUUAACCUACUGCAGCGACGGUACAACUGAAUCCUAUCUCCCCAAACGCGUGCUCUAUGAAAAGUCUCGAGGGUACCAAGGCUAUAUAUGAGAAAGAAAUCCAAGAUCACAGGCCGCGUUGCCCGAAUAACGCUUUACGAAAUGCAAGGAAAGAAGAAAAAUAGAGAGAUAAUAAGAACGCGAAGAAGGAAAGAGAGGGAAGAAAAAGGAUUAUUGAGAUAUGAAGAAAAGAAAAAAAAAAAAGAAGUAAUCGGCGGACAUCUCGGCGGGAGAAGGCGUAGAAGAGACGACACGUGGAGAGCAAUGGGCGAUCGAUCACUCACCGCUUGUGCUCCAAAGAGAUGACAGGGAGGCUCUUCCUCCUC